This 288-nucleotide ribosomal RNA is filed under the name Triticum aestivum (bread wheat). RNAcentral describes it as "partial small subunit ribosomal RNA". Lineage: Eukaryota; Viridiplantae; Streptophyta; Magnoliopsida; Poales; Poaceae. The record is from RNAcentral.
AUGGUGUGUGCAGGUGUUGUCGCUUCUCCGCAGUCGCCACUUGGAGGGCUUUGUCGAUGGCACACUACCGUGCGCUCCGCCGUAUCAUCCGGGGUAUCAUGCUUGGGUAGCUCAGGAUCAAGCCAUCCUCUCUGCUAUACAGUCAUCUCUCACAGAGGGGGUCUCGUCACUGGUCAUCUUCGCUGCUACGUCUCGGGGUGCGUCGACGACUCUUCAUACCAGUUUUGCCUCGCAGUCCCAGGCAUGUGCUCAUGCCAUUCGCACGGCGCUCGGGAAGGUGAAGCUUAA